GCGCUCACUUCAGCAGCACAUACACUAAAACUGGAACAAUACACAGAUUAGCAUGGUACCUGUUCAAGGAUACCAUGCAAAUUUGAGAAAGGUAAAUGCUUAAU
Molecule: small nuclear RNA, 104 nt
Organism: Vulpes vulpes (red fox)
Lineage: Eukaryota; Metazoa; Chordata; Mammalia; Carnivora; Canidae
Source: Ensembl